CUUGGACAUGGUGGCUGAGCUUUUCUCUGACAGUGAUCUCCCUAAACUAUCUGAUUACAAGUCUGCUGACAUCAACAGUGACGAUCCUCCAAUCAGAAGUCUUCCAGAUGAGUUACCACCUCAGCCAGAAGUGUCAAGGGAGUCACUUUCCCUCCAAAAAAUAACAGC
Scomber japonicus (chub mackerel) is the source of this 168-nucleotide long non-coding RNA. RefSeq lists it as uncharacterized. Lineage: Eukaryota; Metazoa; Chordata; Actinopteri; Scombriformes; Scombridae. The transcript has 3 exons. The record is from RefSeq and is a predicted model, not a curated record.